AUAUAUUAUUAUCAGACGUCGUACACGCCUGUGAACACAUUCUAUCGAACUGAGUCAUUGAAAUAACAUAGAACCAAGCUUUUGAGGCGAGCGAUCGCCUCUGAUAAUCAGCUCGGAACUACAGGUGGUGCACAAGUGUGAAGGACGGGAUGUGAACAAGCGUGCACAUGCUCCUGAAAGGAGCCAGCAGCAGCCUGCUUCAACAACUCGGUAAUGAUCCUUCCGCAGGUUCACCUACGGAAA
Molecule: unclassified non-coding RNA, 243 nt
Filed under: uncultured fungus
Lineage: Eukaryota; Fungi
Description: sequence contains ITS1
Source: RNAcentral